CUAUCUUUUCCUUCUCUUUUUGUACUCUUUCCUUCGUU
Molecule: small RNA, 38 nt
Filed under: Arabidopsis thaliana (thale cress)
Lineage: Eukaryota; Viridiplantae; Streptophyta; Magnoliopsida; Brassicales; Brassicaceae
Description: ATSL017520
Source: RNAcentral